This 276-nucleotide ribosomal RNA is filed under the name uncultured prokaryote. Its description in RNAcentral is "partial 16S ribosomal RNA". It matches the Rfam family "Bacterial small subunit ribosomal RNA", at positions 524 to 801 of the family's 1533-position model. The record is from RNAcentral.
UACGUAGGGGCUAGCGUUAUCCUGAAUUACUGGGCGUAAAGGGUGCGUAGGUGGUUUCUUAAGUCAGAGGUGAAAGGCUACGGCUCAACCGUAGUAAGCCUUUGAAACUGGGAAACUUGAGCGCAGGAGAGGAGAGUGGAAUUCCUAGUGUAGCGGUGAAAUGCGUAGAUAUUAGGAGGAACACCAGUUGCGAAGGCGGCUCUCUGGACUGUAACUGACACUGAGGCACGAAAGCGUGGGGAGCAAACAGGAUUAGAUACCCGUGUAGUCCCUGAG